AGAGUUUGAUCCUGGCUCAGGACGAACGCUGGCGGCGUGCUUAACACAUGCAAGUCGAACGGAAAGGCCCUUCGGGGUACUCGAGUGGCGAACGGGUGAGUAACACGUGGGUGAUCUGCCCUGCACUUUGGGAUAAGCCUGGGAAACUGGGUCUAAUACCGAAUAUGACCAUGCGCCUCCUGGUGUGUGGUGGAAUGCUUUUGCGGUGUGGGAUGGGCCCGCGGCCUAUCAGCUUGUUGGUGGGGUAAUGGCCUACCAAGGCGACGACGGGUAGCCGGCCUGAGAGGGUGACCGGCCACACUGGGACUGAGAUACGGCCCAGACUCCUACGGGAGGCAGCAGUGGGGAAUAUUGCACAAUGGGCGCAAGCCUGAUGCAGCGACGCCGCGUGAGGGAUGACGGCCUUCGGGUUGUAAACCUCUUUCAGCACAGACGAAGCGCAAGUGACGGUAUGUGCAGAAGAAGGACCGGCCAACUACGUGCCAGCAGCCGCGGUAAUACGUAGGGUCCGAGCGUUGUCCGGAAUUACUGGGCGUAAAGAGCUCGUAGGUGGUUUGUCGCGUUGUUCGUGAAAACUCACAGCUUAACUGUGGGCGUGCGGGCGAUACGGGCAGACUUGAGUACUGCAGGGGAGACUGGAAUUCCUGGUGUAGCGGUGGAAUGCGCAGAUAUCAGGAGGAACACCGGUGGCGAAGGCGGGUCUCUGGGCAGUAACUGACGCUGAGGAGCGAAAGCGUGGGGAGCGAACAGGAUUAGAUACCCUGGUAGUCC
Molecule: ribosomal RNA, 771 nt
Filed under: uncultured bacterium
Lineage: Bacteria
Description: bacterial SSU rRNA
Rfam family: Bacterial small subunit ribosomal RNA
Source: RNAcentral